Chelonoidis abingdonii (Abingdon island giant tortoise) is the source of this 3050-nucleotide non-coding RNA. NCBI's taxonomy places the organism in Eukaryota, Metazoa, Chordata, Testudines, Testudinidae. The record is from RefSeq and is a predicted model, not a curated record.
UCGGGGGCAAAGGUGUCGGGAGGGGGCUGGGGCGGUAAUUAGGGGCGAUCGGCAAAUGUUGCCUUUACCCAGUGGUGGGUUAACGCCCGGGCUCAGGCCCGGCCAAUUUGGGGACCUCUCAGGAGCGUUGUCAUUCUGGCCACGCCCCCUGUUGCUUCUUUCCCCUGUGGCCCCGCCCCCAGCCAGGUUGGAAGGUGAUGGAGCCUGUGGUACAGUGGGUCUGCACAUGAUGCAGGAGAGUGGAGCAUGCUUUGAAGAUGCAACUGAGGAUGUCAUUACAUCAAUAAACCUAAUAAAAAAUCCAAGAAACCCCCCCACCAUCCCUUUCUCUCACUAAUUACAUCAGAAUUACUAAUUUAACAGAAAUGUCUUUUUAAACAAUGAUGAGUUCUAUGGGCCUGUGGUUCCUGGGAGCCAGGAAUAUUCCUGGCCUGGGGCCUGGCUCCAGCAAUGUUUGAAGCUAGGUCUCUCCCUCGGCCCUGCCUUCUGCCCCCUGGCAUGCACACACACCCUGUGCAUACCCCGGCAGACUUAAAACAGCCCUGAGCCCCCACCCGUCACCGGCAGCGCAGCUGAAGGGCUUCCUGCCUGCUCAUUCCACAGGCUGCUGGCCCCUCCCUUUAGCCCCUGGGCAGAUUGGGUCUGUGUCUACGUGCGCUUCUCUUGCCCCAAGCACCCCUGUGGCCAAUAGGAAGCUGCAGGGGCAGUGCCUGGGGGUAGCAGUGCACGGAGACCCCCCAGCCUGCCAUGCCUAGGAGCCCCAGCCUCUACAUAUCAGUGGAAACAGGUUUUCCGUGAUGAUAGGAGCCACUCAUUCUUGACAGUCAAAAGUCUGUCUGACUCAUGAUGGAGUAGUUGAGCAGAUUCUACAAGGGCCCUGUGUCCGAACUAUAAUACAUUUCAGCAUGCCCUAGAAAGCAAUGUCAAAAGAUAUGAACCAGUAACUUGACACCCAACUGGAAGCGGCUUCCCUUCAGAGAAAAAUGGAACAUUUGGAAACAGCCUUUAUGGCACAAUUUUGGGACAUCAUUCUUCAACGUUUUCAAAUGACCAGCUUGCUGUUACAGAAAAGUGACAUCAACCUGAAUACAGCAGUUCACUUACUGCAAUCACUACAAUUAUUUGUUUCUUCUCUUUGAGAUUAAUUCAAGAUUUUUGAAAAUCCUGCUACAAACCCAUGGAAGGCUCUUUCACAGAAUUAUCAAACUGAUCUGAAUUGUUACUGAAAACAGAAACAGUUACCAGAUGAAUCAGGAGGACCUGAAGUUUUACUUGAGGAAAGUCAAAAGUUUUGCACUGAGACUUUUUAUGUAACUUUAUCUUCAUCACUGACAGGAUGCCUAUAAGUUGUUGAAUGACCACUUUGGAGUACUAUUUGAAAACAACUUGCUGGACAUUUCUGACAUUCACAAGCAUGCCGCUGAACUUGCUGCAGUUUACCCUGAUGACUUGGAACAACAUUUUCCUGAUGGACUCAUACAAUUCAAAUGCUUUGUACAGGAUGAGCCUGACAAAUCUCCAGCCCAUCUGCUGCAAGUUUUAAAGCAAAGUGGCCUUCAGUCAACAUUCCCUAAUACGUACAUUGCUCUCAGAAUUUUCAUGACCCUACUAGUUAAAAAUUGUGAAGGAGAACGUACGAUUUCCAAGCUGACAAGGAUAAAAAAUGAACUGAGAUCAACAGUGCAUCAAAGGCAUCUGACUGCCUUGUCUCUAAUGGAACUUGAGUCAGAACUGGCUCGACAAAUGGACUUUGAUGAUAUUAUACAUGUUUUUUUCCUCCCUUAAAAUUCAGAAACAAACAAUCAUUUAAAAGGAAAGAUGUACGUUUUUAUGAUAUGUUUUGUAUGUUUAGUUUUGGGUACACAAUGUGAUAGAUAAUAUUAUUAAAAUAUAAGUGUAAUGAGUACAUUAAAGAGAGACAUUUAUAGUAUAUUUCUUGUAGCACAUUUUUUCCAUUGCUAUGUACUGAUGUUACUGGGAAUGAUAGGCAAAGUCUGGCUGUAAUUAGUUUCCUAAAUUACUCUCAGUUCAGUGGAUGAGUUACAAGUCACAAAAUCAAAAUGACACCAACAUGUAAUCUCUUUAAAAGAAAUCUUAAAUUUAAAGGGCAUGCAUGGAGUCUUUAUAUUAAUGCAUUUUGAUACAUUUGUGUUUUUAAUGGGGUGGAGGGGUCCCAGGUGUUUUGUGCCCAGGGCCCCAAUAAAUCUUAAUCUGCCUCUGCCUGUACCCUUUAGCUAUCUAUAGCAACCUUGGGACCUUUUCAUCACCCACAUGGCAACAUUGAUGAGAGGGCUUUUUUUAAGCACCAUUUUUUCUUUUAAAGGUGAAUGCCCAAGUUUGCACCCUUCUUUUUCUUCUUUAUCAAGUAUGAAGCAGGGCAGGGGUUUUCCUGUUUGUUUUUUACCUUAAAAUAUCAAGUUUUUUGCCUUCGCUGGUUUUGCUGGAUUUCUUGUUGGAGAAGCAGAGAAAUGGAACUGGAGCUUUGUUAGCCCUCGUUCAGCACCCCUCUGCUUCAACUCUAAACAAUGGGAACUUUUCUCCCAACUUUUUAAUCAGGUUUUGGAUUAAAUAGUUGCCUUAAAAAAAGCAAAUGAAAUACAAUUUGACAAAAAUCUCAUCCAUGCUCAGUUAUUUAGAUUUCACUUUCUUGGUACUGGUGAUGUCAUAAACUUACUAGUUCUUCAAUAAUACAUAGUGUCUUCCAGGAAGAACACUAGUGACAAGACUUUCAUUUAUAAUGUGCUUAAAAAAGCCCCAAAACAAUUAAAAGACCUUCCCCACUCCCCACAAUAUUUAGGACUCUAUACAUUUUGGGGGUUUUUGUUUGUAAAAAAAAAAACUUUUGGUUUUUCCUUUGCACUAUUAACACUUGUCAAAACUGUAAGUUAAUGUAAAGGGUGCAAAAUUCUAGCAAUAUAAUAGGCCUUUAGUAACAGAAUGUUGGCUCUUGUGCUGGUGUGGUAUUUAGUGGGAACAGGAUGGCAUUUUAGAAAGGGAGAAUUAUCUUUGGUUUGGACAGAGUAAACUAAUAGACUAUGAAGUGUGCAGAA